RNAcentral lists this ribosomal RNA (539 nucleotides) under uncultured Mycobacterium sp. Its description in RNAcentral is "bacterial SSU rRNA". It matches the Rfam family "Bacterial small subunit ribosomal RNA", at positions 54 to 606 of the family's 1533-position model. Lineage: Bacteria; Bacillati; Actinomycetota; Actinomycetes; Mycobacteriales; Mycobacteriaceae. The record is from RNAcentral.
CAUGCAAGUCGAACGGAAAGGCCCUUUCGGGGGUACACGAGUGGCGAACGGGUGAGUAACACGUGGGUGAUCUGCCCUGCACUUUGGGAUAAGCCUGGGAAACUGGGUCUAAUACCGAAUACACCCUGCCGGUCGCAUGGCCUGGUGGGGGAAAGCUUUUGCGGUGUGGGAUGGGCCCGCGGCCUAUCAGCUUGUUGGUGGGGUGAUGGCCUACCAAGGCGACGACGGGUAGCCGGCCUGAGAGGGUGUCCGGCCACACUGGGACUGAGAUACGGCCCAGACUCCUACGGGAGGCAGCAGUGGGGAAUAUUGCACAAUGGGCGCAAGCCUGAUGCAGCGACGCCGCGUGAGGGAUGACGGCCUUCGGGUUGUAAACCUCUUUCAAUAGGGACGAAGCGUGAGUGACGGUACCUAUAGAAGAAGCACCGGCCAACUACGUGCCAGCAGCCGCGGUAAUACGUAGGGUGCGAGCGUUGUCCGGAAUUACUGGGCGUAAAGAGCUCGUAGGUGGUUUGUCGCGUUGUUCGUGAAAACUCACA